GUUGGCGGUCAAAGCCAAGGGGUAACACCUGAUCUCGUUCCGAUCUCAGAAGUUAAGUCCUUGUACGUUCCGCGAUGGUACUGCAUUUAUGUGGGAAGUCUGGAAAGCUGCCAAUG
Molecule: ribosomal RNA, 116 nt
Filed under: Candidatus Woesearchaeota archaeon
Lineage: Archaea; Nanobdellati; Candidatus Woesearchaeota
Source: RNAcentral